RNAcentral lists this ribosomal RNA (468 nucleotides) under uncultured bacterium. RNAcentral describes it as "partial 16S ribosomal RNA". It matches the Rfam family "Bacterial small subunit ribosomal RNA", at positions 28 to 507 of the family's 1533-position model. The record is from RNAcentral.
GACGAACGCUGGCGGCGUGCUUAACACAUGCAAGUCGAACGGAAAGGCCCUGCUUUUGUGGGGUGCUCGAGUGGCGAACGGGUGAGUAACCCGUGAGUAACCUGCCCUUGACUUUGGGAUAACUUCAGGAAACUGGGGCUAAUACCGGAUAGGAGCUCCUGCUGCAUGGUGGGGGUUGGAAAGUUUCGGCGGUUGGGGAUGGACUCGCGGCUUAUCAGCUUGUUGGUGGGGUAGUGGCUUACCAAGGCUUUGACGGGUAGCCGGCCUGAGAGGGUGACCGGCCACAUUGGGACUGAGAUACGGCCCAGACUCCUACGGGAGGCAGCAGUGGAGAAUAGUGCACAAUAGGCGGAAGCCUGAUGCAGCAACGCCGCGUGCGGGAUGACAGCCUUCGGGUUGUAAACCGCUUUCGCCUGUGACGAAGCGUGAGUGACGGUAAUGGGUAAAGAAGCACCGGCUAACUACGUG